AUGUUAGUUGGACUGGUUAAACAAACUACUUUGUCCUCUCAAACAGAUAGCCCCAUUUGGAGCUUGGAGUUGAAUGGUCAAUAUUCUUUUAAAUCCUUUUAUAAGAUGAUUAACUUUGGUGGGAUUUCUUCUGAUAUUAAAGGUUUCAUUUGGAAGAUUAAAGUUCCUCCAAAUAUCCACUUCCUAUGGCUGAUGAACAAAAGCUUGACUAGAGAUAAUCUUGCCAAAAGAAGACAUGUAGAAGAUAGAAUGUGUGUUUUCUGUGCUGAACCAGAAUCAAUUCAACACUUGCUGUUUGACUGCAUUAUUGCGACUGAAAUCUGGGCUGUGAUUGUUGAAGCUUUUAAGAUAACCCCUCCUGCUUCUUUUGAAUCUUUAUCUUAUUUUUGGAAGAAGAGAAAACAAUGUGAAGCUAUUAAUAUUGCCACAUCUGCUACCUUAUGGUGCUUAUGGCGUUUGCGCAAUGAUUUUGUCUUUCAGGGGAGAAGCUGGCGAGGUAUGCGCCGUGUGUUGGAUCAGGUGAGUUUUGGGUUCUACGGUAGGGUGCGUCGACUGCAAAUUAAAAUUUUCCUACGCGCAGAACAUCCAGGAACAUGCUACGGGAGAUGGAUCACAGUUCGUUACCACUAG
Molecule: ribosomal RNA, 630 nt
Filed under: Triticum aestivum (bread wheat)
Lineage: Eukaryota; Viridiplantae; Streptophyta; Magnoliopsida; Poales; Poaceae
Description: partial small subunit ribosomal RNA
Source: RNAcentral